Molecule: transfer RNA, 84 nt
Filed under: Croceicoccus naphthovorans
Lineage: Bacteria; Pseudomonadati; Pseudomonadota; Alphaproteobacteria; Sphingomonadales; Erythrobacteraceae
Description: tRNA-OTHER
Source: RNAcentral
CGCGCAAUCGGAAAGAGUAGCGAAAAGCCGUCGGGCGAAUUGCCAAGGUUGGGGUCGAGGGUUCGAAUCCCUUCGCCCGCUCCA